RNAcentral lists this long non-coding RNA (201 nucleotides) under Mytilus galloprovincialis (Mediterranean mussel). The record is from RNAcentral. Lineage: Eukaryota; Metazoa; Mollusca; Bivalvia; Mytilida; Mytilidae.
UUGUGUACAAUUUGGAAAUUAGUAUGGCGUUCAUUAUCACUGGACUAGUACAUAUUUGUUUAGGGGCCAGCUGAAGGACGCCUCCGGGUGCGGGAAUUUCUCGCUGCAUUGAAGACCUGUUGGUGACCCUCUGCUGUUGUUUUUUAUUUGGGCGGGUUGUUGUCUCUUUGACACAUUCCCCAUUUCCAUUCUCAAUUUUAU